This 1569-nucleotide unclassified non-coding RNA is filed under the name Hevea brasiliensis (rubber tree). Lineage: Eukaryota; Viridiplantae; Streptophyta; Magnoliopsida; Malpighiales; Euphorbiaceae. The record is from RNAcentral.
CCCAGACUACAUUUUUUUUUAUUUGGUCAUGACUAUAUAUACAAGUGUGUACCAUAUUUGUUAUAUCCUGUUGAUUAUCCCUAACCAAAAGGGGGUAAUUUCCCUUUUCUUAUUUAUUUUAAGUAAUGACUACAAAUAUAAACUCAUGGCUUGCGAGGCAAAUCACGUCUACUGGGUUAUGGGUAAUCCUUCUGGUAGGGAUUAUCUCAUGCAGCCGACUCAAUUGAAGAAUGGCCAAAUUCGCAGAGCUCAGUACAGUGGUGCUCAAUCCGUAACUGAGAACCAAGCGCUUGACAGUUGAUAAAAUAAAACUGAAGUGUGAAUUUUCCAAUUACUAUGCCUUGAUCAAUUGGACAUGGGUAUGUCCAUAGUGAUGUCAUCCUCGGAAUCAAAAAAGCAUUGAAUUUCUAUGUACUUGAACCUCUGGACCCGACCCCUUACACCAAUUCCCCACCAAGCUCCAUACAUGGUUGAACGUCUGCCAAUUACUUCAAUAACAGAACUUCAUAAUGAAAACAUCUGCUUCUUCCUUAAAUGCUCAAAAACCAAACAAGAAAUUCAUUUGUAGAGUAUAGAUUCGUUCUCCCACCAUAAAUCUAAGAGAAAAUGUCAAAUAUCUGAACCACAACGUCAAUGCAAAAUUAGUCCAAGAAAACAAAGACAGAAUCAAAAUGACAUCCAAAAUUCAUCAUGACAAAUUCCUUCCUGAUUAUAACUCUCCGCUACUACCUAGAAGCUCAAGACAUCCUCUGUGCAGCCUCCUUCGCUAAGAGUUUCUCCUUAGCUUUGGUCUUUGCCUGAGAUUUGGAUCCCAUGAUGCCACCACCCCAUCUCUUGCGGUGCUCGUCAAACUUGUCAUUGAAGUUUGCCUUAACUGCCUCCAAGAUUUUGCUAAAUUCCAAUUUAUCUUCAUUCUUCACUGAUGUAAGGCACAAAGCUGCAGCUGUUUUCUUGUGAACAAUAGCUCCAAGGCGUGACUUGCCCUUCACGAUAGCAUAAGGGACCUCCAUUUUCCGGCACAAAGCAGGCAACCAAACAACAAGCUCAAUUGGAUCAACAUCAUGUGCAAUAACCACUAAUUGGGCCUUGUUCUGCUCAAUAAGGUAAGUAACAUGGUUAAGACCAUACUUAACAACAAUGGGUUUCUUUGAUUCCACAGUUUUCCCCUCAGCUUCAGCCUGUGCCCUUUUAAGAAGCCUUUCCUUCUUAGCUGCCUUGUCCUCAGGUCUAUAUUUGAGAAAUAAUUUGAAGAGUUGUGUGGCAAGGUUCUUGUCAAGUGUUUUUGUAAACUGGUUAACAGCAGGAGGAACCUUCAAACGUUGCUUCAGGAUCCUCCUUUGUCUUUGAAUACGAACAACAUGAGGCCACUUGACAAACCUAGUCAAGUCCUUCUUUGGUGGCAGUGCACCACCAAUUCCAAACUGUUUUGGUCGCUUCUCAAACAAUGGGUUGACAACCUUCUCAGGUUUCUUCUUUGCCAAUACUGGGGCCUUAACACCUCUUUUGGGAGCCAUGCGAGUGAAGAUGCACAGAAAAACUAGCUGCCUUUGGAGGAAAGGGCGUGUGACA